GCCUUCUUAGCUCAGUGGUAGAGCGCGUGGCUUUUAACCACGUGGUUUGGUUCGAUCCCCACAACGGUG
Molecule: transfer RNA, 69 nt
Filed under: Ipomoea nil (Japanese morning glory)
Lineage: Eukaryota; Viridiplantae; Streptophyta; Magnoliopsida; Solanales; Convolvulaceae
Rfam family: tRNA
About the family: Transfer RNA (tRNA) molecules are approximately 80 nucleotides in length. Their secondary structure includes four short double-helical elements and three loops (D, anti-codon, and T loops).
Source: Rfam by way of RNAcentral